AUGGCUAGGCCCCAACCAAAGCCCUGUUUUCUACUCGUGCUUGCUGGUCCAAGAUUGGUAUCUCAUACAACUCUAGCAUCUCAAGGAUUGGGGCCACAAUUAGGGCAAAGGAAAAUUAUUCUCGUAGACUUUUCUUUGAGAUUUUCACCAUUACUGCAUGGAAUAUUUGGAAGGAGAGAAAUAACUUCAUCUUCAAUCAAAUUUGUCCUUCAUUUAGAGCUUGGCUUGAGAGGACUAAGAAUGACCUUACCAGUCUUAGGUACAGAGUGUCCCCUAAUCCCACUGCUUAUAUCACUUCUUUUGUAA
This 306-nucleotide ribosomal RNA is filed under the name Triticum aestivum (bread wheat). RNAcentral describes it as "partial small subunit ribosomal RNA". Lineage: Eukaryota; Viridiplantae; Streptophyta; Magnoliopsida; Poales; Poaceae. The record is from RNAcentral.